Molecule: ribosomal RNA, 425 nt
Filed under: uncultured bacterium
Lineage: Bacteria
Description: bacterial SSU rRNA
Rfam family: Bacterial small subunit ribosomal RNA
Source: RNAcentral
GUGGGGAAUAUUGCACAAUGGAGGAAACUCUGAUGCAGCGACGCCGCGUGAGUGAAGAAGUAGUUCGCUAUGUAAAGCUCUAUCAGCAGGGAAGAUAGUGACGGUACCUGACUAAGAAGCUCCGGCUAAAUACGUGCCAGCAGCCGCGGUAAUACGUAUGGAGCAAGCGUUAUCCGGAUUUACUGGGUGUAAAGGGAGUGUAGGUGGCCAGGCAAGUCAGAAGUGAAAGCCCGGGGCUCAACCCCGGGACUGCUUUUGAAACUGCAGGGCUAGAGUGCAGGAGGGGCAAGUGGAAUUCCUAGUGUAGCGGUGAAAUGCGUAGAUAUUAGGAGGAACACCAGUGGCGAAGGCGGCUUGCUGGACUGUAACUGACACUGAGGCUCGAAAGCGUGGGGAGCAAACAGGAUUAGAAACCCGUGUAGUCC